UACGGGGGGGGCAAGCGUUGUUCGGAAUUACUGGGCGUAAAGGGCUCGUAAGCGGCCAACUAAGUCAGACGUGAAAUCCCUCGGCUUAACCGGGGAACUGCGUCUGAUACUGGAUGGCUUGAGAUUGGGAGAGGGAUGCGGAAUUCCAGGUGUAGCGGUGAAAUGCGUAGAUAUCUGGAGGAACACCGGUGGCGAAGGCGGCAUCCUGGACCAAUACUGACGCUGAGUGAGCGAAAGCCAGGGGAGCAAACGGG
RNAcentral lists this ribosomal RNA (254 nucleotides) under uncultured bacterium. RNAcentral's name for it is "partial 16S ribosomal RNA". It matches the Rfam family "Bacterial small subunit ribosomal RNA", at positions 524 to 776 of the family's 1533-position model. The record is from RNAcentral.